ACCUUCUGUGGUGUAGUGGUAGCGCCUUGGCUUAGUAAUCAUAUCUCCUGGGUUCGAAUCCCAGUCGGGGUA
Halocaridina rubra (Hawaiian volcano shrimp) is the source of this 72-nucleotide non-coding RNA. The record is from the annotation of a GenBank genome assembly. Lineage: Eukaryota; Metazoa; Arthropoda; Malacostraca; Decapoda; Atyidae.